AACUGAACCGAACCACCACCCAAGCCCACAAACUUAGACCCAACCUCAAACCUAGAGCCCUGGGGGAAACGAGAUGAGCAAGGAGCAGGGAACGCACCCAUUUAUGAUUGCCAUCUUCUCAAAAUGCCAGGCAGAUCGAAGCUAGCCACACAAUUCAGCAAUGCAAAAAGCACAAAAGUUGCUCAUCCACACACAACCAGCGCUUCAACAGAACAACAUAUGUUUACCAAAACUGCAAACAGGGACAUGA
Molecule: unclassified non-coding RNA, 250 nt
Filed under: Hevea brasiliensis (rubber tree)
Lineage: Eukaryota; Viridiplantae; Streptophyta; Magnoliopsida; Malpighiales; Euphorbiaceae
Source: RNAcentral